RNAcentral lists this ribosomal RNA (485 nucleotides) under uncultured bacterium. RNAcentral describes it as "partial 16S ribosomal RNA". It matches the Rfam family "Bacterial small subunit ribosomal RNA", at positions 30 to 507 of the family's 1533-position model. The record is from RNAcentral.
AUUGAACGCUGGCGGCAGGCUUAACACAUGCAAGUCGAGCGGGGAAAGGUAGCUUGCUACCUAACCUAGCGGCGGACGGGUGAGUAAUGCUUAGGAAUCUGCCUAUUAGUGGGGGACAACAUCUCGAAAGGGAUGCUAAUACCGCAUACGUCCUACGGGAGAAAGCAGGGGACCUUCGGGCCUUGCGCUAAUAGAUGAGCCUAAGUCGGAUUAGCUAGUUGGUGGGGUAAAGGCCUACCAAGGCGACGAUCUGUAGCGGGUCUGAGAGGAUGAUCCGCCACACUGGGACUGAGACACGGCCCAGACUCCUACGGGAGGCAGCAGUGGGGAAUAUUGGACAAUGGGGGGAACCCUGAUCCAGCCAUGCCGCGUGUGGGAAGAAGGCCUUUUGGUUGUAAAGCACGUUAAGCGAGGAGGAGGCUACCGAGAUUAAUACUCUUGGAUAGUGGACGUUACUCGCAGAAUAAGCACCGGCUAACUCUGUG